This is a long non-coding RNA of Mastomys coucha (southern multimammate mouse), 387 nucleotides long. RefSeq lists it as uncharacterized. The transcript is spliced from 3 exons. Lineage: Eukaryota; Metazoa; Chordata; Mammalia; Rodentia; Muridae. The record is from RefSeq and is a predicted model, not a curated record.
UCCUAAUUGUUCCUGGCACCAUUCCACAGGCUGGGGUCUUAGAACAAAAAUAGAGGAAGUCAUCUAGGCACCAGCCUUCCCUACACCAGCUGCCUCACUCCUGGCGACACACCCUUACCACAUGAGACUGUUCACUCAGACUCUGAGAUAAAACAAACCUGUCCAUAAGUUGAUUUUGGAGGAGCCCCUUAGAGGUACACCCUAUAUAAUGUUAGCAACUGGCCUGUUUCACUUAGCACUACAACCUCAAGGCCUACCACAUAUAGCAUAUUGUAGAAUUUCUUCAAUUUUAAAGGGUGGUUCUUUGAAGUAGAAACCAGUCCAGCUGUGCAUAUACCUUUAAGACCUUCCUUCACAAGUUCUAUGAAGUUAACUCCCAUACCACAG